UACGAAGGGGGCUAGCGUUGUUCGGAAUUACUGGGCGUAAAGCGCACGUAGGCGGGUUGUUAAGUCAGGGGUGAAAUCCUGGAGCUCAACUCCAGAACUGCCUUUGAUACUGGCAACCUAGAGACUGGAAGAGGUUAGUGGAAUUCCCAGUGUAGAGGUGAAAUUCGUAGAUAUUGGGAAGAACACCAGUGGCGAAGGCGGCUAACUGGCCCGAUACUGACGCUGAGGCACGAAAGCGUGGGGAGCAAACAGG
RNAcentral lists this ribosomal RNA (253 nucleotides) under uncultured bacterium. RNAcentral's name for it is "partial 16S ribosomal RNA". It matches the Rfam family "Bacterial small subunit ribosomal RNA", at positions 524 to 776 of the family's 1533-position model. The record is from RNAcentral.